Molecule: ribosomal RNA, 342 nt
Filed under: Triticum aestivum (bread wheat)
Lineage: Eukaryota; Viridiplantae; Streptophyta; Magnoliopsida; Poales; Poaceae
Description: partial small subunit ribosomal RNA
Source: RNAcentral
AUGGUGUGCGCUCGCAGGUCCGACCUGGACUCCUCCGUCAACACCGCCACGUGGCGCGACAGAACCACAUUCUCCAUGGAGAACAGCUCUGCCGGCACCUUUGGCUCAUGCUCAAAGACGUCAAGGCCCGCGCCUGCAAUCUUUCCCUCCCUGAGUGCAAUGACCAGUUCUGCCUCGUCGAUGUUUGCUCCUCGGCCGAUGUUGACGACCACACCGUCCUUUCCUAGGGCCUCCAGCACAUCCUUGUUCACGAUGUGCCGUGUCGCCUUGUUCAGUGCGCAUGCGACAACGAGCACGUCAGAUUCAGCAGCAAGCUCAUGGACAUUUGGGAAGUAUUUGUAA